RNAcentral lists this long non-coding RNA (546 nucleotides) under Citrus sinensis (sweet orange). RNAcentral describes it as "long non-coding RNA (CSIN_LNC003463)". The record is from RNAcentral. Lineage: Eukaryota; Viridiplantae; Streptophyta; Magnoliopsida; Sapindales; Rutaceae.
AAUUUAUAAGCAGGCACAUAACAAAGAAAUCCAUCAUAAAUUCUUUCAAGAUUGCAUGAUUAUAUAUAAACAUCAGAAGCUUCACAUCUGUUUAUAUAUAUCUAGCAAUAAACUAAGAACUCACAGUUCAAACUUUAAAAUAAACAAGCAAUGCAUGGCUUAAAGCAUUCACAAGUCCAUUAAGUAACUUUCAAGUUUCCAAGAAUCAAACAAGGAGGUAACAGAAGUAGCCACACACAAGCACACAGUGGUGAAGCACCAUUGGCGACCCACGAGCGACCGAGCUGGAAAGAAGCCGUAGCAGCAGUUGGUGGUGCACAAGCAGUCGUCAGCUGCAGCAAGUUCGUUCGACUAGCUGGACGGCAGUCGUAUGACGAGGCAGCGGCGAGAUGGUUCCGUGGAUUUGGGCGUUUGGCCGUUUCACCUUCGGGUUGUUAGGGUGAGGUGAGGUGAUUUGAUUUUUAAUUUUUUACGGUUUGGACAUCAAUAUUUAUGUGUGUGCAAGUCUAUGGUAACUAUUUGACAUAACCAUUUAAAUUAUGACGC